This 379-nucleotide ribosomal RNA is filed under the name uncultured eukaryote. RNAcentral's name for it is "partial 18S ribosomal RNA". It matches the Rfam family "Eukaryotic small subunit ribosomal RNA", at positions 592 to 976 of the family's 1831-position model. The record is from RNAcentral.
CAAUAGCGUAUAUUAAAGUUGUUGCAGUUAAAAAGCUCGUAGUUGGAUCUGUGGUGUGCGGUGGGCUCCGGGCACUUGUUGUCUGAGUAGCUCGCCGCUGCCAUCCUUGGGUGGAACCUGUGUGGCAUUAGGUUGUCGUGCAGGGGAUGCCCAUCGUUUACUGUGAAAAAUUAGAGUGUUCAAAGCAGGCUUAUGCCGUUGAAUAUAUUAGCAUGGAAUAAUGAGAUAGGACUUUUUCGCUAUUUUGUUGGUUUGCGCGAAGAGGUAAUGAUUAAUAGGGACAGUUGGGGGUAUUCGUAUUCCAUUGUCAGAGGUGAAAUUCUUGGAUUUUUGGAAGACGAACUACUGCGAAAGCAUUUACCAAGGAUGUUUUCAUUAA